AUUGGAGGAGGCGUACAUCAGAUAUGGAUGCUUUUGUUAUCAGAGACUAUGGCAGCAGCAUGAAAAUCUGGAAUUGGUCUUAACAUAUCUCUUUACAGCAAUGCAACAGAACCAGAGACAUAUAAAUAUCUCUGACAGAACUGAAGAAAACUAUAAAAGUGUUCCUCUGACUGCUGAUGUUCAAGAGAGAGGAGAAAACAGAGAAUUUCAACAGGUGUUUGUUAUCCAACAUUGUUUUGUAUCCAGAGUUCUGUGAGUAUGGAGAAUGAUUCCUGUUACCAUGUGGUGUUGGCUAUUGUCUCUUUCAAUGGAGCAACAUAGACAAUAUUUAUACAUCCUGAUCUCAAUGGUACAGUCAAACCUAGUUAUCUCGUACUCGACGGGGCCAAGAAAAAACUUCGAGAUAUCCAAUGAUUCAAGAUAUCCAGGAUCUGGAAUUGCAUGUAGCCUGACAGAAAAAGUUGAUGGCUGUUUCCAUUUACAGAAGACAUGACACAAAGACUAAGGUCUGAUGUCUACAUUUAGUUAUUCUUGGGUUACUUUAGUGGACCCUUUCUUGUAGUUAGUAUUGAACAAUAAUGUUGUUUAAAGUCUUUGAAAUACAGAAAUUUGACUGAGCUAUACAAAUUGUAUAUCAUAAAACCAUUAUAUACAUAAUGUCUCUUUUUAAAUUUUUGUUUCGACUGUUUCACUACCCUAGUUCUUUAAUUAUGAAUCAAUAAUCUUCUAAUAUAGAGAAAAAAAAAACUUCA
Long non-coding RNA from Saccostrea echinata, 752 nucleotides. RefSeq lists it as uncharacterized. NCBI's taxonomy places the organism in Eukaryota, Metazoa, Mollusca, Bivalvia, Ostreida, Ostreidae. The record is from RefSeq and is a predicted model, not a curated record. The transcript has 4 exons.